RNAcentral lists this ribosomal RNA (253 nucleotides) under uncultured bacterium. RNAcentral describes it as "partial 16S ribosomal RNA". It matches the Rfam family "Bacterial small subunit ribosomal RNA", at positions 524 to 776 of the family's 1533-position model. The record is from RNAcentral.
UCCGGAGGGAGCUAGCGUUGUUCGGAAUUACUGGGCGUAAAGCGCACGUAGGCGGCCGUUCAAGUCAGAGGUGAAAGCCCGGGGCUCAACCCCGGAAUAGCCUUUGAAACUAGAUGGCUUGAAUCUUGGAGAGGUCAGUGGAAUUCCGAGUGUAGAGGUGAAAUUCGUAGAUAUUCGGAAGAACACCAGUGGCGAAGGCGACUGACUGGACAAGUAUUGACGCUGAGGUGCGAAAGCGUGGGGAGAGAACAGG